CUCAUCUCUUCUUCUCCAUUUUCUCUCCUCUUCUCUGUUUUGUUUUUAGAAAAUUUUAUGUUCUCUCCUCUUCCUCUUCUAUUAUGUCAUCUCCUUCUUGGGUGGUUGUGGCUGGUGGCUAUGGCUAGUGGUCGUGGCUGGUGGCUAUGGCUAGUGGUCGUGGCUGGUGGUCGUGGCGGGUGGUCGUAUCUGGUGGUUGGGGAUGGUGGUUGUGGCUGCUGCUUGGUUGGUCGUUGGUUGUGGGGCGAUUAGGUGUGGUUGCUAGUUGCUUGGGUCGUCGGGACUGUUAAUCCCUCCUCUCCAGACGGGUUUAGCUAAGAACACCUAAGGAUGUGUUUUUGGUGGGUCCAAUAUUAGUUAAUUCCAUUUAAAAUUAGAAUAGGGUGGAACAAUAAAACUUUAGCCAAGCCAUUCCAAGCUUGCACGAUGUAACAAACACGCCCAUCCUACACCACUAACAGACAUGUAUAAAACCCAUGUAACAGUGCUUAUUUGAAACAUGAAAAGAAUAUGUUUCUACAUGGUAUCUAGAGAGCCUUCAUUUUUCUUUAAAAAAUUUCUGCUUCCCUUUCGUUCAAUGGCCUCCUCCGCCUCCUCCUCCUCCUCUUCCUCCUCCUCCUUCGCUGGUGUUCUCCCCUUCC
Molecule: long non-coding RNA, 641 nt
Filed under: Prunus dulcis (almond)
Lineage: Eukaryota; Viridiplantae; Streptophyta; Magnoliopsida; Rosales; Rosaceae
Description: sRNA ncRNA
Source: RNAcentral